GAAGCUGCCCAAGAAUGGAAAGGAAGAAAUAUAUCACAUCAUCUGUCUGUCCACAGGCUUUCCUUGGGGCUUAUGAAGUGAAUGAAGGAGGGAAGAAAGGAGAGACAGAGAAAAUAUGGAUUUCCUCAUGGUUGUGAUUCCUCUUCACUCUUUUGAAUUUGGAAGGAUGGCAUACACAUCUGAAAAAUACCACUACUUCCUUCAUUGGACUGCAAGGUAUUUCUGUUUGGAAAAGUAAUGGAGUCCAGUCAACUUCAUUGAUCGCCAAGGACUGUCAAAAUUAUAAAACUUGCUGUGGAGCUCUGACAUGCCAGAAGCCGCUAGAAAAAGAAGUUUGACAUUCAGAAACUUAUCAAGAGGUUCUACUCUUUGGAUAGAGACCAAAAUCAUACUUUGAAAAAGCCUGACAGGUUUCUUCGGAAAAGUGGCCAUCCAUGGAAUGAAUGAAAUGUUCUCUUUCUAUUCCACGCGGGUCCAAGCCUGUAGCCCCAAAUCGGAUAAUCUCUGCAGCUGAUAACAAGCAAAAGAGAAGCCAGGCAACAGCCAUAUUAAAGAAGAAAACAAUCAACUCUGAGAUCCAACUUAGAAAUAAUGUUUCAUUCAAGAUAAGGCUCGUGGCUUAGGAGAUUGUGACCUGGCUUGCAUCAUUCUAAGACUUCUAUCGUCUGUUUUCAAAACCCAAGGAGGACCUCCUUUUCUGUGUGAUAGUUCCUCAUGCUUUGCCAGCCACUGGGUCUUUAAGGAAGCUUGCCAAGAGUUCCCGGCUGGGAAGGACAGUUCGAGUUCAUCAUAGACAAUGAGCUGGCACCACAGUUUAAGUGACUCACCAACCUGGUUGCCCACUUCAAAAUGUCAAGAACCACACUAUCUAAUUGAAAGAACUGUGUUUUAGCAAAGUGUAAUUGGAUCGCCUGGCAAGAUCAUCUCAAACUAUGUCUCUGACCUUGCCUUUCAGUGGCUAUUUUGAGCACAAGAGGAGAAAGGAAAUGAUUCCUGAAUUAUAUCUUGUUUUUAAAAAUUAAGAUUAAUUAAUACUUGGUUUUAUGUUCAUUCCAUUGUAGGAACUUAGUGAUUAUUACAAAACAGUCAAAAUAGGUCAUAGCAAAAUGAACGUUUAAGAUUAGGUUAAAACAUUCCUCUGAAAUUUUAGUAUUCACUUUUGAAGUGUCAAUUACUAUAUUUCUGUAAUUUCUCAUUUUUUUCUUGGCUUAGAGUCAAGAUGAAAAAUGAUAUUUGAAUCAAAGACAUUGUUUUGUUAUAUAGCCACUCCUUUCUAAAAUGCAAAUCCACCCUCCCCUCACCAAUGCUUUAUUCUUUGUGCGCGCACACACACACACACACACACACACACACACACACACACACAGACAUACACAGAACCAGCACCCAAAUGGUAGAGGAGGUCCUUCCAAGACUUCUAGGACCUGGAUCAUGUAAGCAGUAGAUGAGAAAAUGAAGUAAGAGAUAUAGAGUAAUAACAAUAAAAGUCAAUGAUUUCAUUUUACAAAAAAGUCAUUGUGUAGUACUCAGAUAUUUUUAAGAGCAAGUAUUAUUAUGACUAAAGUAUAUUAUACUUCUAAAUUAUUAUGAUUCUCAUCUAAUUUCAAGCCACACAUAGGCGCCAUUUGAAAGCAUUUUGUGUUACAACCUAUCAACAAAAAUCAACUAAUAGUUUUAUAACGUGCAUAGGUUUACCCCAUGGGGAAUUAAAAUUUUUAUCUGCAAGUAUUUCUGUUGUUGUGAGACUUUAGGACAAGACAACAUUUGGUGUUAACAUAGAAGAAUAUUCUAUGGCUUUUUUAGCUUUAAAGUUCAUUACUCUAAAAUAAAGUACACGUGGUAUUUUUUUCUUCCUAGUGUUCUCUUAUUAUAUGUAGAGUAUUUUCGGUUGUUGUUUUUAACGUAUACAUUAUUUUUAUUAAGUCAUUUCAUAAAAGAUAAGAUAUAUACUAAUAGACCCUUGGUUUUCUCCUAAUUUAAUUAUUUCAAGUCAAGCAAAAUUGGGCAAUUUUCUUUCAGGAAAAAAAAAAUAUUGAGCAUGAUUUUGAGGUAAAACUGAUUAUUUACAGCAUCUUUUCUCUAAUAGGCUAACAUUUAUGAUGGAUCUUAUUUCAAAGUUGAUUAUUCUCAAAGAAAAGUGGAGAUAUUAGAAUUUCCGAGUAAAUUGCAUUGUUUUAAAAAGUACUUUAAUGCAUUGUUCACAUUGUUGCCAGCUAUUGACCAAAAAAGAGAAGAAGAAAAAAGAAAUAAAAAAAGCAGUAUCUGCUCCAAACGUCAAGUUUUGCAGUUUGAAAGAC
This is a long non-coding RNA of Homo sapiens (human), 2297 nucleotides long. Ensembl annotates it as SOX2 overlapping transcript. Its record names the gene SOX2-OT. The record is from Ensembl. NCBI's taxonomy places the organism in Eukaryota, Metazoa, Chordata, Mammalia, Primates, Hominidae.